This 612-nucleotide small RNA is filed under the name Pan troglodytes (chimpanzee). Its description in RNAcentral is "processed transcript". Lineage: Eukaryota; Metazoa; Chordata; Mammalia; Primates; Hominidae. The record is from RNAcentral.
GGGACAUCCCUUGGGCUAGAGCACUGGACAAUGGAUUGGCAAGGACGCCUACCAUGGGCUGGCUGCACUGGGAGCGCUUCAUGUGCAACCUUGACUGCCAGGAAGAGCCAGAUUCCUGCAUCAGUGAGAAGCUCUUCAUGGAGAUGGCAGAGCUCAUGGUCUCAGAAGGCUGGAAGGAUGCAGGUUAUGAGUACCUCUGCAUUGAUGACUGUUGGAUGGCUCCCCAAAGAGAUUCAGAAGGCAGACUUCAGGCAGACCCUCAGCGCUUUCCUCAUGGGAUUCGCCAGCUAGCUAAUUAUGUUCACAGCAAAGGACUGAAGCUAGGGAUUUAUGCAGAUGUUGGAAAUAAAACCUGCGCAGGCUUCCCUGGGAGUUUUGGAUACUACGACAUUGAUGCCCAGACCUUUGCUGACUGGGGAGUAGAUCUGCUAAAAUUUGAUGGUUGUUACUGUGACAGUUUGGAAAAUUUGGCAGAUGCCCAAUUAUACAGAAAUCCGACAGUACUGCAAUCACUGGCGAAAUUUUGCUGACGUUGAUGAUUCCUGGAAAAGUAUAAAGAGUAUCUUGGACUGGACAUCUUUUAACCAGGAGAGAAUUGUUGAUGUUGCUGGA